AACGCGAAGUAACCUUACCUGGGUUUGAACUUCAGUGGCAAGGCUCAGAGAUGAGUCCCUCCCUUCGGGGAUCGCUGGAGAGGUGCUGCAUGGCUGUCGUCAGCUCGUGUCGUGAGAUGUUGGGUUAAGUCCCGCAACGAGCGCAACCCUUGUCCAUAGUUACUAACGGGUUAAGCCGAGAACUCUAUGGAGACUGCCGGUGAUAAACCGGAGGAAGGUGGGGAUGACGUCAAGUCCUCAUGGCCUUUAUGUCCAGGGCUACACACGUGCUACAAUGGACGGCACAAAGAGUCGCAAAACCGCGAGGUUGAGCUAAUCUCAAAAAACCGUUCUCAGUUCGGAUUGCAGUCUGCAACUCGACUGCAUGAAGCUGGAAUCGCUAGUAAUCGCGGAUCAGCACGCCGCGGUGAAUACGUUCCCGGGUCUUGUACACACCG
RNAcentral lists this ribosomal RNA (437 nucleotides) under uncultured bacterium. RNAcentral's name for it is "bacterial SSU rRNA". It matches the Rfam family "Bacterial small subunit ribosomal RNA", at positions 958 to 1392 of the family's 1533-position model. The record is from RNAcentral.